AUGGGCGCAAGCCUGAUGCAGCCAUGCCGCGUGUGUGAAGAAGGCCUUAGGGUUGUAAAGCACUUUCAGUCAGGAGGAAAGGUUAGUAGUUAAUACCUGCUAGCUGUGACGUUACUGACAGAAGAAGCACCGGCUAACUCCGUGCCAGCAGCCGCGGUAAUACGGAGGGUGCGAGCGUUAAUCGGAAUUACUGGGCGUAAAGCGUACGCAGGCGGUUUGUUAAGCGAGAUGUGAAAGCCCCGGGCUUAACCUGGGAACUGCAUUUCGAACUGGCAAACUAGAGUGUGAUAGAGGGUGGUAGAAUUUCAGGUGUAGCGGUGAAAUGCGUAGAGAUCUGAAGGAAUACCGAUGGCGAAGGCAGCCACCUGGGUCAACACUGACGCUCAUGUACGAAAGCGUGGGGAGCAAACAGGAUUAGAUACCCUGGUAGUCCACGCCGUAAACGAUGUCUACUAGGAGCUGGGGUCUUCGGACAACUUUUCCAAAGCUAACGCAUUAAGUAGACCGCCUGGGGAGUACGGCCG
This 524-nucleotide ribosomal RNA is filed under the name Pseudoalteromonas sp. 6Bb1S11. RNAcentral's name for it is "bacterial SSU rRNA". It matches the Rfam family "Bacterial small subunit ribosomal RNA", at positions 371 to 888 of the family's 1533-position model. The record is from RNAcentral. Lineage: Bacteria; Pseudomonadati; Pseudomonadota; Gammaproteobacteria; Alteromonadales; Pseudoalteromonadaceae.